GGCUGUGGCUCAGUGGUAGAGCGCUAGCCUAGCACAUGUGAGGCACUGGGUUUGAUCCUCAGCACCA
RNAcentral lists this transfer RNA (67 nucleotides) under Marmota monax (woodchuck). RNAcentral describes it as "tRNA.Ala". Lineage: Eukaryota; Metazoa; Chordata; Mammalia; Rodentia; Sciuridae. The record is from RNAcentral.